This 95-nucleotide transfer RNA is filed under the name Actinomycetota bacterium. RNAcentral describes it as "tRNA-Thr". It matches the Rfam family "tRNA". From Rfam's summary of the family: Transfer RNA (tRNA) molecules are approximately 80 nucleotides in length. Their secondary structure includes four short double-helical elements and three loops (D, anti-codon, and T loops). Further hydrogen bonds mediate the characteristic L-shaped molecular structure. tRNAs have two regions of fundamental functional importance: the anti-codon, which is responsible for specific mRNA codon recognition, and the 3' end, to which the tRNAs corresponding amino acid is attached (by aminoacyl-tRNA synthetases). tRNAs cope with the degeneracy of the genetic code in two manners: having more than one tRNA (with a specific anti-codon) for a particular amino acid; and 'wobble' base-pairing, i.e. permitting non-standard base-pairing at the 3rd anti-codon position. The record is from RNAcentral. Lineage: Bacteria; Bacillati; Actinomycetota.
GGAGGGGUGGCAGAGCUGGUAAUGCAGCGCGCCGCGUCAGCGGCCGCUACGCGGGGCUGCGUCUCGCGUCAGGGGUUCGAGUCCUCUCCCCUCCG